GCUUACGGCCAUACCACCCUGAGCACGCCCGAUCUCGUCCGAUCUCGGAAGCUAAGCAGGGUCGGGCCUGGUUAUACUUGGAUGGGAGACCGCCUGGGAAUACCAGGUGCUGUAAGCU
This 118-nucleotide ribosomal RNA is filed under the name Carassius auratus (goldfish). Lineage: Eukaryota; Metazoa; Chordata; Actinopteri; Cypriniformes; Cyprinidae. The record is from RNAcentral.